UUGCUCUGGCGGAUCAGUGGCGAACGGGUGAGUAACACGUGAGUAACCUGCCCCCGACUCUGGGAUAACUGCUAGAAAUGGUAGCUAAUACCGGAUAUGACGAUUGGCCGCAUGGUCUGGUCGUGGAAAGAAUUUCGGUUGGGGAUGGACUCGCGGCCUAUCAGGUUGUUGGUGAGGUAAUGGCUCACCAAGCCUACGACGGGUAGCCGGCCUGAGAGGGUGACCGGCCACACUGGGACUGAGACACGGCCCAGACUCCUACGGGAGGCAGCAGUGGGGAAUAUUGCACAAUGGGCGAAAGCCUGAUGCAGCAACGCCGCGUGAGGGAUGACGGCCUUCGGGUUGUAAACCUCUUUUAGUAGGGAAGAAGCGAAAGUGACGGUACCUGCAGAAAAAGCACCGGCUAACUACGUGCCAGC
RNAcentral lists this ribosomal RNA (419 nucleotides) under Clavibacter sp. R10.62. RNAcentral describes it as "bacterial SSU rRNA". It matches the Rfam family "Bacterial small subunit ribosomal RNA", at positions 75 to 512 of the family's 1533-position model. Lineage: Bacteria; Bacillati; Actinomycetota; Actinomycetes; Micrococcales; Microbacteriaceae. The record is from RNAcentral.